GACGAACGCUGGCGGCGUGCUUAACACAUGCAAGUCGAACGGUGAAGCGCCUUCCUUUUUGGUGGGUGUGGAUGAGUGGCGAACGGGUGAGUAACACGUGAGUAACCUGCCCCCUUCUUCUGGAUAACCGCAUGAAAGUGUGGCUAAUACGGGAUAUUCUGGGUCUGUCGCAUGAUGGGUCUGGGAAAGAUAUUGUUUCGGUGGGGGAUGGGCUCACGGCCUAUCAGCUUGUUGGUGGGGUGAUGGCCUACCAAGGCGGUGACGGGUAGCCGGCCUGAGAGGGUGGACGGUCACACUGGGACUGAGACACGGCCCAGACUCCUACGGGAGGCAGCAGUGGGGAAUAUUGCACAAUGGGCGCAAGCCUGAUGCAGCGACGCCGCGUGAGGGAUGGAGGCCUUCGGGUUGUGAACCUCUUUCGCCAGUGAAGCAGGCCUGCCUCGUUUGUGGGUGGGUUGACGGUAGCUGGAUAAGAAGCGCCGGCUAACUACGUG
RNAcentral lists this ribosomal RNA (494 nucleotides) under uncultured bacterium. RNAcentral's name for it is "partial 16S ribosomal RNA". It matches the Rfam family "Bacterial small subunit ribosomal RNA", at positions 28 to 507 of the family's 1533-position model. The record is from RNAcentral.